CCUACGGGGGGCAGCAGUGAGGAAUAUUGGUCAAUGGACGAGAGUCUGAACCAGCCAAGUAGCGUGAAGGAUGACUGCCCUAUGGGUUGUAAACUUCUUUUAUAAAGGAAUAAAACGAGGCACGUGUGCCUUUUUGCAUGUACUUUAUGAAUAAGGAUCGGCUAACUCCGUGCCAGCAGCCGCGGUAAUACGGAGGAUCCGAGCGUUAUCCGGAUUUAUUGGGUUUAAAGGGAGCGUAGAUGGGUUGUUAAGUCAGUUGUGAAAUUUUGCGGCUCAACCGUAAAAUUGCAAUUGAUACUGGCAGUCUUGAGUACAGUUGAGGUAGGCGGAAUUCGUGGUGUAGCGGUGAAAUGCUUAGAUAUCACGAAGAACCCCGAUUGCGAAGGCAGCUUACUAAACUGUGACUGACAUUGAUGCUCGAAAGUGUGGGUAUCAAACAGGAUUAGAUACCCCGGUAGUC
This 460-nucleotide ribosomal RNA is filed under the name uncultured bacterium. RNAcentral describes it as "partial 16S ribosomal RNA". It matches the Rfam family "Bacterial small subunit ribosomal RNA", at positions 338 to 795 of the family's 1533-position model. The record is from RNAcentral.